RNAcentral lists this non-coding RNA (179 nucleotides) under Bacillota bacterium. RNAcentral describes it as "6S RNA". It matches the Rfam family "6S / SsrS RNA". From Rfam's summary of the family: E. coli 6S RNA was the first non coding RNA to be sequenced, but its function was unknown until recently. It consists of 184 nucleotides that fold into an extended hairpin structure with a large single-stranded internal bulge. Lineage: Bacteria; Bacillati; Bacillota. The record is from RNAcentral.
AAUUGCCUAAAUAAUACGGUUGUCAUUUUGAAAAACCUACUAAUUGACGAUAUUGGGAAUCUAAUUUAUUGGUGGUGUUGAAAGCUUGCUUUUAAGUGAGACUCCUAAAAUCAGUAAUGUGAUGCCCACCUGGGAGACUAGGUUUUUAAUCGUUGCGACGCCGAUUAUUUGGGCUUUUU